This 72-nucleotide transfer RNA is filed under the name Patescibacteria group bacterium. Its description in RNAcentral is "tRNA-Ile". It matches the Rfam family "tRNA". From Rfam's summary of the family: Transfer RNA (tRNA) molecules are approximately 80 nucleotides in length. Their secondary structure includes four short double-helical elements and three loops (D, anti-codon, and T loops). The record is from RNAcentral.
GCGCGCGUAGCUCAACGGUAGAGCAAAUGUCUUAUACACAUUAGGUUCUAGGUUCGAAUCCUAGCGCGCGCA